Long non-coding RNA from Oncorhynchus tshawytscha (Chinook salmon), 1027 nucleotides. The record is from Ensembl. NCBI's taxonomy places the organism in Eukaryota, Metazoa, Chordata, Actinopteri, Salmoniformes, Salmonidae.
CCUCCAGUAGAGUUCCAGACCCUUGUAGAAUCCAUGUCGAGGUUCAUUGAAGCUGUUCUGGCUGCUGUUGAAGAAGGCCAAGCCCUCCAAGGAGCCCAAGAAGGAGAAGACAACAGCCGGGGAUUCUGGGAAGGGAAAGGGCAAAGGCAAGGGCAAAGCCAGGAAGUGACCCCUAACCUCUCAGACAACUACCCCCCAAAAAAGCGAACUGUACAACACCUCUUCUCUGACGUUCUGAAGAACAAACCCCUAAACGGUUUGACCGCCACCUACCUGGUCUUAUCACCGUGGCGACCGGAGACAGAACCCUGGCUCUCUUCUUGGACCCCUUUAAACUUAGGAUGUGCAUCCCUUCCCUAUGAAGGGAAAACCCUAUUCCCUAUAUAGUGCACUACUUUUGACCAGAGUCCCAUAGGGCCCUGGGUAUAAAGUGGUGCACUACUUUUGACCAGAGUCCCAUAGGGCCCUGGGUAUAAAGUAGUGCACUAUGAAGGGAAUAGGGUUUUCCCUUCAUAGUGCACUACUUUAUACCCAGGGCCCUAUGGGACUGGUCAAAAGUAGUGCACUACUUUAUACCCAGGGCCCUAUGGGACUCUGGUCUAAAGUAGUGCACUAUAUCGGGAAUAGGGUUUAUAUAGUAGUGGUUAUAUAGUAGUGCACUAUGAAGGGAAAACCCUAUUCCCUAUAAAGUAGUGCACUACUUUUGACCAGAGUCCCAUAGGGCCCUGGGUAUAGUAGUGCACUAUCAAGGGCAUAGGGUCCGCUUUGGGACUUUCCUACAUCUUGUUAGCGCUGUGGAUUUGGAAAGGUCUGAAUGAUAACUGUGUGUGUGUUUGUCAUGUAAAUAUGUACCUUGUCGUAUAUAAAGAUGCUGUUGCUUUCUACUGCUCAUCGUAGACGGGACCUUUCUGGUCUGAACCGUCGAGACCAACGGAUGGAUCAGUGAACGGCAGAAUAGUUCUGUUUUUUUUUUUUUUUGUUGUAAAGAUUUUCACUGAUAAAUGACGACUGUAUUUACGGUGUUGUG